UAACAUUGAAACACCAGUUCCUGUAUGAUCACUGAAGUUAAGCAAUGUCAAACCUGAUCAGUAUCUAGAUGGGUGACUGCUUGGGAAUACCAGGUAGUGU
Molecule: non-coding RNA, 100 nt
Organism: Acanthosepion pharaonis
Lineage: Eukaryota; Metazoa; Mollusca; Cephalopoda; Sepiida; Sepiidae
Source: the annotation of a GenBank genome assembly